Long non-coding RNA from Equus caballus (horse), 2033 nucleotides. The record is from Ensembl. Lineage: Eukaryota; Metazoa; Chordata; Mammalia; Perissodactyla; Equidae.
AAGAGUUUUAAGUACAAUAAUUAUGUUUUAUAGUCUGCAUACUUAAAAACAGCUUCCAAAAUCUUUUUUUUAUAUAUAAAAAAUUUUAUAGCUCUACUAAAUGAAAUUAAAUAAUAACAGUUUAUUGGGUAUCUAGGUCAUUUCCACAUAAGAUAAAAUAUAAAAGGUUAACUACUAAGCAUAUAUUUAUCUGCCUUUGGUUUCUUAUAUCAAAGAGACUAAAAAGUGCUUAGGUUUAUUGAUAAAUGAGUUUUAUAUAUGCUGAGAAAUUUUCUAUGAGAAAACAUAUAUUUCUAAAAGAUCUGUAUACAAGGAAAGCAAAAUAUAUGUUUUCAGUAAAAAGAUAUAAAGAAUGGAAAUAUUUUUUAUCUUGAGUUGAGAAAGAUAAAUUUGUCCUAAAGUGCUGGGACAAAUUCUUAAUGUAAAAAAAGUAACCAAAGGUUUGUAAAAGUAAAACCCUAAAGAGAUUUAUGUAUGGUCAAGUUGACCAGGAUUAAAGUAAAUCCAAUUAAGUAAAUAAACUUAUAUGUCAAAAGUAAACUGGUACAAAAUUAAAACUUAGUUUCCUCUUUCUUAAAAGUAUAAUUUUCCUAAAUUUUUAAUCUGCUCUUAAUAAAAAGAUUAUAAAAAGUCUUUUGUUGACUAUUUUAACUCUGUUUCCCCUUGACUGUUUCUGUUGUCACUUUGAAUAGAUACCUGAACACGGUUUUACAGUGAACUUUGUUUCCUAUCUGAACAAAUGUUUUAAAGCUUUUAAGAUUUUUGACAAGCUUCCCCCCACACACAAAUAUUCAAGUCUUGAAUAAAAGCUUUCUUUUGACCUGGAAGAGGAGGGAAGGUUUCUCUGGGGAUUUUCAGAGGGCCCCUGGGACUUCUUGGAGAAAUUUACUCUCUUCCUAUAAGAAAAGAAUGUUAAACUAAUAAGGCUUAUUUUGUAUAUUAAAUUACACGAGAAGCGUUGUCAAAUAAAUAAUGAUAAACUUUCUUAAAUGGUAUUAUGUAAAUGAGUGUUAUUGAUAUAAACAUUUAAAAAAUUAUCUGAUCUGUUCUGAUUGUCAGCUAUAAUCCUGGUUAUUAUCUCAAAAUGUUGUGUAUCACAGACAUGGUCAAAUGCCUUUGUCAGUUACCAUUUUUUAAUGUUUUGUUAUUUAUGAACAGUGGCUAUUUUACUUUAAUGUUUUUGCAAAUAUGUUUCAUCUUCAGAGAAAUUCAUGGAAAGGACUCUGACACUCUAGAAUACAGGUUUCUAAUAAACGUUCAGAUUGUAAAACUAAACUGGGUAAAAAUUACAGAACUCCAACAGAGAAACUGAUGACCUCACAAACUGCUGACAGAAGAUUAAGAUCAAGAACCAAUUACGCAGGACAGAACAAACUGAUAGGGAUGAUUAUAAUUUUCAGAAUUUUUGGUUGAGAUAUUGCUGAUUUUUGAUGUUUUGCUUUUUUCAGAGUUAAGAAAACCUUUUUCUCUAUUCUCUUGAAGAACUAUGACUUACAGCAAUUUAUAAACAAAAUUGAAACAUUUGUCUUUUCCUCCCUUUCUGAGCCCUCCAAAACAUAAAAACCCCUGAAGUUCCAAUAAGAAUCUGUUCUUCUUUUAACAGGACACAAUUGGAAACACUGGUUAUAUUACCAAGGCUUUGACUGGAACAUCAUGUUUGAAAAAACAUAUGGGCUUGGAUAUAAUAAAACAGCUUUUGAGGAAUGAAGGUUGACAUUCUGGAAUAAAGCCACUUGGAAAUAUUGGCCUGGUACUGUGUUUAUGGGUUCUGUAACCUGGUAAGGUUGAGCAAAGAAUGUCACUCCCUCUGGCAGGUACAAGGAACCUCAAUAUUUUGGGGAACCUCACGAAGAGAGGGAUUCACCCAAAUCUGUAGUUACUGCAGGCAGAAUCUGAUAACAGGUGCUUUGCUUGGCUUUCCUUGAGAGACCUUUACAGUUCAACCUGAGAUUCCUUAUAAGGUUCCAGCAAAGCAGAUUAAAAAGAGCCUAUAUGAUCAAUUACUAUUCUUGCUGUACUUAUGUAAAUAAUUA